RNAcentral lists this ribosomal RNA (465 nucleotides) under uncultured bacterium. RNAcentral's name for it is "partial 16S ribosomal RNA". It matches the Rfam family "Bacterial small subunit ribosomal RNA", at positions 28 to 507 of the family's 1533-position model. The record is from RNAcentral.
GACGAACGCUGGCGGCGUGCUUAACACAUGCAAGUCGUACGGUAAGGCCCUUUCGGGGGUACACGAGUGGCGAACGGGUGCGUAACACGUGCGUAACCUGCCCACAACUUUGGGAUAACGCUAGGAAACUGGUGCUAAUACUGGAUAUGUGCUCCUGCUGCAUGGUGGGGGUUGGAAAGCUCCGGCGGUUGUGGAUGGACUCGCGGCCUAUCAGCUUGUUGGUGGGGUAGUGGCCUACCAAGGCGGCGACGGGUAGCCGGCCUGAGUGGGUGACCGGCCACAUUGGGACUGAGAUACGGCCCAGACUCCUACGGGAGGCAGCAGUGGGGAAUAUUGCACAAUGGGCGCAAGCCUGAUGCAGCAACGCCGCGUGCGGGAUGACGGCCUUAGGGUUGUAAACCGCUUUCAGCAGGGACGAAGCUUUUUGUGACGGUACCUGCAGAAGAAGCACCGGCUAACUACGUG